AAUAAUUCAUAACUGGAUAGGCUUGGGUUAAAAUGUCCUCAGGAAGUCAGGAUGUUUUGAACAGAUGUUUCGACAUCGAUCCUAAGGAUGCACCAAUAUUUAGCUUCAAGAAACAAAAAAGGAAGAUGAAUUCAAAGAACGAAAGUUGGGUAUUUAGAUGUCAACUUAUCAAAUCAUUUCCAUACUUGUUCCUGCCAGAUUGCAUUCCUUUAUUAAUGGUCAUUACCUUCCAUGAGAGCAGCAUCAAAUUGAAUAUCUGACUAAUUUCUUCGGCAGCCAUGAGAGUAGCAUCCAGAAGAACACUGAUAAUUCUUAGAUCCCAAGGGAGGGAAACUCGCUAUUUCAAUACCCAACCAUAUUAAUGGAGUAAUUUUAUUAUUAUUAUUAUUUUGUUAAUAUUAGUUUGUACGUACAUGUUAUAUUGUGGGCAUUUUUUUUUUUAAAUAUAACAAAAAUAUUCGGAUCUUAGAAAUUUUUAUGGCAUUAACACUAGACCAAGAAUUAC
This 505-nucleotide long non-coding RNA is filed under the name Populus tremula. RNAcentral describes it as "long non-coding RNA (PTRE_LNC002527)". The record is from RNAcentral. Lineage: Eukaryota; Viridiplantae; Streptophyta; Magnoliopsida; Malpighiales; Salicaceae.